CACUAGUGUUAGAAAGUUAUUGCUAGGUGAAUGACAGUUUCACAACUCAUCACUCUGGAAACAAGAUGCAGCUUCGGGUGGACUUGAUGAAAAUUCUAUUGCAGAAAAUUUCAAUAUUAAGUCUCACUUACAGGACUAGUCCACUUGUUCUGUCAUUGCAACCUGUGGUUUGUAGGAAAGUCCACAAUUUGGAGUGGAGUGAUUGAGAAUAGACUUGCAUCUUGGCAGAGGCAAUACCUCUCUAUGGGGAAAGACACAUUAAUCGACAGUGCUUUGGAUAACAUUCCCACAUACCAAAUGUCUUUCAUCCCACUGCCUUCCAAAGCAGUCAAGCAGCUCGACAAGAUUAGGAGAACCUUUCUCUGAAAAGAGAGAAGCAAGAAGCCAAGAACCACAAAUUUAAUUUUGUCAUAUGGGAAAAAAUCACAGUGCCUAAGCAGCUUGGAUGUCUAGGCAGUAGGAAUCUAACAUAUACAAUAAAUGUAUGCUUAUGAAAUGUUUGUGUAGGCAUUGCAAGGAGGAGAACUCUUUGUGGAAGAGGCUGCAAAGGCAAUACAUAGUUCUCAAAGCCCUUGGUGCACCAAUCUUUCCAGAAGACCUCAUGGUAUGGGACUCUGGAAGAACAUCAGAAAGUUAUGGUCUGAAUUUUCCCUAAGUUCUUCCUUUAAAUUGGGAAUGGGAAGUGUACCAACAUUAAAUUCUGGGAAAACAAAUGGUUAGGGGGGUCUACCCUAAAGAAUGACUUUCCAAGCUUGUUUCAGAUAGCUCAAGAACAGAACUCCAUUUCUCAGAAUUGGCAAAAUAACUGCUGGCAAAUACUGUUCAGGAGGAAUAUUCAAGACUGGGAACUGCCUCACCUUAUGGAGUUAUGGCCUAAAUUUGGAAGAACACUCUUGUCAAGCUAGGUAUUACUGAAAAGCUAAAAUGGAAGGAUGGCCCCUUUUCAGUGAAGGAAGGCUACGCUCACCUAUGCUAUCCUCCAAUGAGAUGAUUGACAGAUGGCUCUGGGAAUAUAUCUGGAAAAUAAAGCUUCCCUCAAAAUCAUAUGUUUCAGCUGGAUAGCUUUACAUGAAGCAUUCCUUGCACAGGAUAAUCUCUACAGAAGGAAAAUUCAGACAGUCGAUAGAUGCUUCAUAUGCCUUAACAAUUUAGAAUCCAAUAGACAUCUUUUGCUAGACUGCCCAAUCGUCACAGAUAUUUGGGGCAUGUUUUUCUCUAUUUUUGAUGUCAAAUGAGUUAUGCCACGAAGCAUAAAAGUGGCCUAUGAAUGUUGGUCUAAAUGGAAAGUUGAUAAGUCCAUCCGGACUCUGGCAGAUGAUUCCUGCCUGUAUCGUUUGGUGUGUCUGGACAGAAAGAAUCACAGAUGUUUUGAUGGGAUUUCAAUUCCUACUUGUAUUCUUGAGGCUAAAUGUCUUUUAUAGUUCGAUAGUUGGCAGAAUCUUUCCCUCUAAAUUGUCCUAUUAAUUUUUUGAACUUCAUCAGCUGUAGCAUUAGCUUAGUUUUUUGUAGCCUAUGGCUUACAACCUUUUGAGCUUCUGAUCAAUGUGAAAUGACUUGGUAGAAGAAAUGGUGAGAAAGACAAAGACAGAAAGGAACUCAAAAUAUUUUGAAGACAAAAGCAGUUUCAUUUAGAAGAUCAAGAUGAAUCGUCUUUCUUUGUUCUAUUUUUGGUGUAAAGAAGAAUUUUUGGAUUAUGUAUGAGACCUGAUAGAUUUAAUAAGCAGCUUGCAAGUGACUGUCACAUCAGAUGGGUUGAUGAAGUCAUUCCAGAUGCGCCUUGGGUUGUUACCCCGGAAUUCAUUGAUGAACAUCCGAUUGACUAUGUGGCACAUGACGCUCUUCCACAAGGUUAAGUCCAUUGGUAAGUUCUUGGAGACCAAGUGGACUGAUGGAAUAUCUACUUCAGAUUUAAUAAUGAGGAUUGUAAAAGACUACAACGAAUAUGUGAUGCACAAUUUGGACCGAGGAUAUUCAAGAACGGAUCUUGGUCUUAGCUAUGUGAAGGAAAAAAGGCUGAGAGUGAACAGGGGUUUGAAAAAGUUGCAUGAGAGAGUAAAGAAACAACAAGAGAAAGUGGAAGAGAAGUUUUCCUAGGCAUUAUCCAUCUGAGCCCCUUCUUAAUCAGGAAGAGCUGCCACAGAGUACUAGUAACUUUGCAAUGGAUAAAUAGGUGGCUAUUUCUUUCAUUCAUUAUCCAUCUUAGCCCUUUCAUAAUUCAUACUCAGUAAGAGCUGCCAGAGUACUGAUAACUUUGCAAUGGAUAAAUAGGUGGCUAUUUGUUUCAUUUUCUCUCCCACAUAGAAAACAUUGUGCAAAUGGCACUUUGAGCAAUGAAAGGGUAGCAUGGGAAACAAUAGGAUGGUAUAUAAGGUAAGGUUGAAUCGAAAGAUACAAUUGAAUUGUCUCUCUACUCCACAAAGAUAGGGGUAAGGUCUACGGCUUUUCAAAACCGACUGCUACCGAUAACCCAACCGCAAAAUUGGUUUAUUGGCUUAUUGGUAUUGGGUUAUCGGAUUAAAGGGUGGGGGAAUGGAUUUAAAUUUUAUAAUUAACGGCUUAUCGGUGUGGGGGACGGAUUACUCAAUUUUCUUAUUGGGUAAACCAUUAACCCAUUAAGAAUUUAUUAUAUUUUAUUAUAUUUUUAUCCCUAAACAUAUAAAAUAUGUAUGGUAAUUAUAAUUUGUAAACCUAAAGAUAAGCCUCAACAGGCCAAAGCCCAUUUAGUUAAUAAGAUAGCCCAUUCCCGCCCAUUUAGUAAAUAAGACAGCAAUUAUACCCUAAUUUUAACAAAACCUAAAGGGUAGGAACUGUCUCCCUAUUCUCUUUCCUCCCCUCCGCCUCUAUCCUCUCGCUCUCAUCUACUGUCUACAGCGAAAUUUCGCUGCGGAGACAAGCAAGACCACGCCUCCACCUCUUCCCAUUCCGUCCUCCUCUACUCGCAACGUUUCGUUAAGCAAAACUCUGGUGAUCCAGACAACAUUGAUAGAAGCAAAUACGACUCCGGUGGAGCGAACUAUCACAGCGACCAGAAGGUGACAGCUAGUGAACGCCGACGAAGACUAAAGCCUGAGAUUUUGGCACGUUAAAGAUAGAUCUGGAAAGAUCCGUCUAGAUUUGUUUUCUCAUUUUUUAAUUUCUCAUUUCUGUCUAUUGAUUUUCCAAUAUGUUCUUUUGAUGCAUGUUUGCUCUUGUUGUGAAUUUUGGCUAAAGCAUGAAUUUCUUUGAGGUUUCAGAUCUUUGGUUCACUGAUUAUUUCUGUUAAUUUUGGUAUGUGCUUCACUGAUUUUGGCGUUAUUAAACUAUUGGUAUAAAAUAAGAUUAUCCAUAUUGUAGCUUAUUUUUGGGUUGUUGAUUGAA
RNA transcript from Solanum dulcamara, 3357 nucleotides. It is a transcript of the gene named choline-phosphate cytidylyltransferase 1-like, with no coding region annotated. NCBI's taxonomy places the organism in Eukaryota, Viridiplantae, Streptophyta, Magnoliopsida, Solanales, Solanaceae. The record is from RefSeq and is a predicted model, not a curated record. The transcript has 5 exons.